UUGUGUGCAAUGAACAGACACAAGAGUUUGUUCAUUUCAGCUCUUUUCCAAGAGUAGAAAAGAAAUCAAAGAAACGAAAUUUAAAGCUGCUGUAAGGAGUGUGGUUUGUGUUGGUAUUGGCGCCCCCUGUGGACAAAGUAAUACCUAUCCACAGGUGUCCAGAAAAAAUAGAACUCUUGCGAUCAUCUGCGGAGUCCAGCGAUCCGCAGCGGAACAGAAAGAAGCCGGUGGAAAUUGACACAUUAACUUGAAUGGUUACGAUCAGCUUUGAUCGGCACAUACAGCCUUUUCGUAGCAAUACCGGAUGCGAUGGAAAUUGCCAGUUACAUGGGAGAGAAAAUCAAAUUCCAAUCGCAUUGUCUGGGUGUCUUAAUCGGAGUUGUCCGACUCCAAUUAUAGUUGGACUAAGGUGUUUAGAUGCACUUCAUUUGUCCGGUCUUAAUCGGAUUAAGGCAAUAAUUCGGUUUUCUCGUGUGUCAUGGAAACGUACUGACUUUCAGUUUCAGCCUGUUUCUCCUCCAGUUAAAAAAUGCUCACUGUGCCUUUAAUGAAAAAAACAACAACAUAAGGUUAGCUCUUGAGACCUGUCUAUUCUGAGCUAUUGGAGAUAAGAGUGUUUUAAUAUGGCCAUCCUUAUAGAAGAGGAGCACAUCAAACUAUUAAAAUUAUUACACACUUAAGGAAGUCUAUUUGGACUCGAAGUUUAUAUUCAUGUUUUUUUCAUGCCGUACUUUUUUGCACUUUAUAAAUGAACAAAUAUAAAGUUACUGUAUCAAACUGUCGUUUUAAAACCAUUUAAGGUUUCUCCCCCCCCCCGAACUGUGGAGACAAACUUCACUCAGACACUAAAUUAAGAAUAUAUAUAUCCCCACACAGAAGCAGCAGACUAUUUAUCAUACUAUGUAAAGCAUGUAAAAGUCGGACAGGCGAGUGUUCCAGGCAGAAAUAACUCCUCCACAGUGCUCAGAAACUGCGGGCUCUACACUUCAGGGCCAUUAUCACACAUUUCUAAGGAAACUAUUUAUUCGUUCAAGCGACAGGCGAGCUGAGUCACUCACUUUAAAUUCACCUGUGGAGAAACAGCGUUGGCAGGGUUCAGGAAACUGGGGCUUACUGUUAAAUUUUGAGCUGAAACGCGUUGAAUAAAAUCUGCUCAAACUGC
Molecule: non-coding RNA, 1162 nt
Organism: Xyrichtys novacula (pearly razorfish)
Lineage: Eukaryota; Metazoa; Chordata; Actinopteri; Labriformes; Labridae
Source: the annotation of a GenBank genome assembly